CCCUUUGCUGUAUCUACAUUUUCCCACAUUUAAUGCAGGGAUCAGUUAAUGGAGUGGCAGACUUAAAACAGAUGUGUUGAUGUCAUUAUUAGCGUUUAUCACUGAUGAAUUUACUUGAUUAUAUUUACAUUUAAAUCCUUUCAGUGUUUCUCUAAAUGCAGUUACAGUGAAUGAAGUUGUAAAAAACAAACUGCAUUGUUUUAAUUUCCAAAAUAAUGAGCUGCUGUACCAUUUGUUGUUUCCAUGCCCUCCCUCCCAUUUGGGUGCCACUGGUCUCUCCCUCUCCUCUCCACCUCUCCUCUCUCUGUCUCUCCUCCAGUGGGUGUGGUGCGGCCCAGCCUGACCAUCCUCCCCCCCUCCAGAGGGGAGCUGCAGCAGGGCAAAGCCACACUGCUGUGUCUGGCCAACGGGGGCUUCCCCUCAGCCUGGAGGCUGAGCUGGAAGGUGGGGGGCAGCAGCAGCUCCUCAGGGGUGUCAGACAGCCUGGAGGUCCUGGGGAGGGACGGCCACUACAGCUGGAGCAGCACCCUGAGCCUCUCUGCAGACCAGUGGAGGAAGGCAGGCUCCGUGAGCUGUGAGGCCAGUCUGAAUGGCCAGAGCCCUGUCACUCAAACCCUGGACCCUGACCGCUGCUCCCAGUAGAGCUUCAGCAACGCUUCUUAUCCAAAUGCUGCUUCUUUGCUUCAACUGAUUUCACUUAGCUUCAGUGUGUGAAUGUCACUUUUAUAUAGUUAAACAAAAAUACAUCAAUUUCAU
This is a non-coding RNA of Myripristis murdjan (pinecone soldierfish), 756 nucleotides long. The record is from the annotation of a RefSeq genome assembly. Lineage: Eukaryota; Metazoa; Chordata; Actinopteri; Holocentriformes; Holocentridae.